Long non-coding RNA from Drosophila elegans, 1582 nucleotides. RefSeq lists it as uncharacterized. NCBI's taxonomy places the organism in Eukaryota, Metazoa, Arthropoda, Insecta, Diptera, Drosophilidae. The transcript is spliced from 4 exons. The record is from RefSeq and is a predicted model, not a curated record.
GUGAGCGAGCGAGAUAGAGCGACCGGUGGGAAGCGCAAUUGAAGGAGAUGGCUUGAAGAGAUUAAAACUAUGCACAGUUUUCCUAAGUGCUCCUGUACUCAGAUUGAUUUUGCUAAAUUUUCGGAUUGCAGUCAGCAAAAGUGAUAGCAACAACGUAAGCCCCUGCUUACAAAGUAACCAUGCAGUCGAAGACCGAUGUUUCAGAUGCGAAAGAUACGGAUGAAUCGAGAUACAGGGGCUAGAGCGCAUCUUCAGUCGGGACAUUUACAUAAUAAGGCAGCCAGGCAGCCAGUGCAUGCAGCAUGAGAAGCCUUCUUUGAUUCGUUGCGAAUUUCUGGGGGAUCCCCCGCACUGCAGAUAUGUACAUGUAUGCAUGUGUGAGUGACUGAGUGUUUUGGAUUCUGUGUCAAAAUGGCGCAGAAAAAUGGUCGAGUGGAGCUGACUGCAGGGCGCCAAAGUGGAAUGGAUUUGACACACCACAGUGUUUCCCGGUACGGAUGCGUCACAAAAUCAUGACACCUUUCGACCAGCCACGUGCGACUCCUACAAUAUUUAUCAAUGACGAAAGCGGCGGCAAUAAAAAAAUAAGGAAGCCGAACCCAAGGAGCCGAGAAUCACGCAUUAAAUUUUGUUGAUUAAAUAUUUAAUAAUGCGUGUGCGGAGAGGAAGCACCUUAAACUCGUGCCAAAGAUUCCGGAGACCCAGUGAGACCGUGUGUGUAUUAAUGGCCGAAUUAUGACGGAACGUACUUGACAUAAGGCCCGAUAGGUACCAGGCACACCCUGUGUGUGGCCUUAACAGAUUUCCCAUCGGCGGACAUGCGUCGAAAUUCUCUUCCUUCGUUUCCUGUGUAUAUGGAAACGCUGGCAAAACGCUGACAAGAGAGAAGAGAGAGAGAGAGAGUGGCUGAGAACGAAUUUAGCUGAAGAGAGCCAACGGGUAAAUGUUGCCAGCAACAUGCAGAUGAUGCAAAGCUCAGGCCCAAAUCAAACUGAAAUUCCACACAAAAAAUAAAAGAAGAAAACACGGAAAGACCCCCGAGAAAAUAAUGAUUUUAGCUGCUUCUCCUUUGGGUCCAAGCUCUGGCAAUUGCUUUGUUGCCCGAAAACGAGAUUCGGAGUUAGGGAAAUACAAAUCUUUGAUUAAUUGUUUGCCAUCUAACAUGACAUACCAUUUACAAUGGCCACGUGCUCUUUAAAUAUUUAUAUGGAUAUUUCAAAUGCGAAUCCAAACUGAUUCCCCUACUAAGUCGCAGGGAAACUGUGCAGACAGGCAUAAAUCAUUUACUCAAACAAUCUGGGCUUCCAAUAAAAAAAUAACAACACGAAAAGGACUUUAUUACAACCAAAAUAACAACGCGAUGGGUUGAUAUAGUUAAUCUUCUUUGUUUUUUGUGGAAGCAUUUCACCAACAACAUGAAUAUUGAGUUGUAAAAAAGAACAAUAAAGUGGGUUACGUGAGUAAGUAAUUUAUGAUAAGGAAGAAGUACCAUUCGACAUCGGAAAAUUUAAGCUUAAGCUUAUUAAUAUUUUAAAGUCUUAUUCAUUUACCGAACAAGCUCAUUUACAGCCACUCUAUUUAU